Molecule: ribosomal RNA, 652 nt
Filed under: uncultured Sphingobacteriia bacterium
Lineage: Bacteria; Pseudomonadati; Bacteroidota; Sphingobacteriia
Description: bacterial SSU rRNA
Rfam family: Bacterial small subunit ribosomal RNA
Source: RNAcentral
AAUAAGCAUCGGCCAACUUCGUGCCAGCAGCCGCGGUAAGACGAAGGAUGCAAGCGUUAUCCGGAUUCAUUGGGUUUAAAGGGAGCGUAGGUGGACUGAUAAGUCAGUGGUGAAAUCUCUUCGCUUAACGAAGAAAUUGCCAUUGAUACUGUUGGUCUUGAGUACAGUUGCUGUGGGCGGAAUAUGACAUGUAGUGGUGAAAUACAUAGAGAUGUCAUAGAACACCGAUUGCGAAGGCAGCUCACAAAGCUGUAACUGACACUGAGGCUCGAAAGUGCGGGGAUCAAACAGGAUUAGAUACCCUGGUAGUCCGCACCGUAAACGAUGAUUACUCGCUGCUAGAGGGCAACUUUUAGUGGCUUAGCGAAAGCGAUAAGUAAUCCACCUGGGGAGUACGCCGGCAACGGUGAAACUCAAAGGAAUUGACGGGGGCCCGCACAAGCGGAGGAGCAUGUGGUUUAAUUCGAUGAUACGCGAGGAACCUUACCAGGGCUUGAAAGUAGGGAAUAACUCUGAAGGAGUAGUCAGCAUGACCCGAACUAGGUGCUGCAUGGCUGUCGUCAGCUCGUGCCGUGAGGUGUUGGGUAAGUCCCGCAACGAGCGCACCCUACCAUUAGUUGCCAGCGGUUCGGCCGGGACUUAUGGAACUGCC